Long non-coding RNA from Centrocercus urophasianus (Greater sage-grouse), 1468 nucleotides. RefSeq lists it as uncharacterized. The transcript is spliced from 2 exons. Lineage: Eukaryota; Metazoa; Chordata; Aves; Galliformes; Phasianidae. The record is from RefSeq and is a predicted model, not a curated record.
GGCCCCGCCCCGGGAGCCGUGAAGCGCGGCGCGCGGCGGCGGGCGCGGAUCCCGCGGAAGGAAACGGCAACAUGAAUUCAUAGAUGAUGAGUAGGAUGCCAAAGCCAGAGAUGACAGUGCUCUUGAAGAAAUGCUGGGUAGAACAAAAAGGUAAAAGAAACAGCUAAUUGAGUGCAUUUUGGAGCCUGUAGGACUUAUGUUACCUUCCCUCAUGAGGCAAAUGACACAUUCCCUCCAACCGUAGCUGAGUUUUGAGUUCCCACCUCCUCAAUUUUGCAUGAAGUUUUAGUGACACCUCACUCUUGACCUACUUUUUCUGAGCCAGGUUUUCCCCAAAGCUACGCUGUUCCAUACCUACAAGUUCCCACCACUCACACGUGUGCCCUUGCAUGUACGUUCUUGCAGAUCCAGCAACUGUUUCAUCCUACCCUGCAGGUGACACUGUCAAAUUGCUCAUCCUGGGUUGUUUGCUGCAGUAUUUUGUGAUGAGAACAAAAAAGAAAUGAGAUUAACUUGACCAGUUAAUUUGCAUCCGGCGCUGUUCUCCUCAGGUGACCAUGCAGUAAUUGGCUGUUCUGACUUCUGACCUAAGCCUGGGCAGAUACACGUGGUUAAAAUGAUUGAAAUGUCUCGCAAGCAAGUUGCCUCCACAAAGAGUGAAUUGCUUGCUGCUGCUCUGAUUGCUUUUGCUGUGUUUUGUGUUCAUGUUGGUGAGGUGCUCCCAAGGAAUCCCUUAUUAGCACUUUGGUUCUGAGAAAUUAUAACCGAGGCAUGAUAGUCCACUUAGGCUUUGGGAAGUGGAUUUAAUCACACCUGCACAGAGCCAUGGAGUAGAAAGGCCUUGGUUAUAUUUCACCAAUGGCAGCAAAAGUGGUGGAAGGAACUGGCAGGGAACAAGAAAAUCUUCACUAGUAGGAAAUGUAUAGGAAUGACUUAAAGAAACCAUUUUCCACUAAUAGCUCUUUGUGUUUUGAGCUGUGGUCGUAGCUGGAAGUAGGAGUUUGUAUUCCCUACCAGCUCUUCCAUCUCCAAAAUGAGUCUCCAACUUAUCUCUAGCAGAAUAGCUGUAUGAGAAGUUAAUUUCUGCUGUGCCAAUGAAAAUAUUAAUUGGGCUCAAUAUUAUGUUUUAUUUUUGCCUCAAUUUAGUGGAAAUGCUUUCCCAUUUUUGUCAAUAAGUAGCUCUGGAUGCUAUAGGAUGUGCUGAAGUCCUUGCUAUGUAGGAACAACAGCUGCUUCAGUUCCUUUAGUGCCAAUGUAGUAGUUUGCCCUGUGCUGUUUGGGAAAUGUAACCUAUGCUUGAAAUAUAUAUAAACAAUUUUAUUGGGAAUACUUCUUUUGUGGUUAUAAGUGGUAUAAGCUAUUGUAUGGUUGAUAUACACAACAUCUAGUUUUUAAUCUAAUAACACCAGAGUUGAGAAUUCGGGCGUUCUUAAAAUAUGAACAAGUAAAUCACUUUUGUCAUUCCAUA